This 72-nucleotide transfer RNA is filed under the name Vannella simplex. Its description in RNAcentral is "tRNA-Cys". It matches the Rfam family "tRNA". From Rfam's summary of the family: Transfer RNA (tRNA) molecules are approximately 80 nucleotides in length. Their secondary structure includes four short double-helical elements and three loops (D, anti-codon, and T loops). Further hydrogen bonds mediate the characteristic L-shaped molecular structure. tRNAs have two regions of fundamental functional importance: the anti-codon, which is responsible for specific mRNA codon recognition, and the 3' end, to which the tRNAs corresponding amino acid is attached (by aminoacyl-tRNA synthetases). tRNAs cope with the degeneracy of the genetic code in two manners: having more than one tRNA (with a specific anti-codon) for a particular amino acid; and 'wobble' base-pairing, i.e. permitting non-standard base-pairing at the 3rd anti-codon position. Lineage: Eukaryota; Discosea; Flabellinia; Vannellidae. The record is from RNAcentral.
AGUUGGAUAGUAUAAUGGCAUUACAAUUAUUUGCAAAAUAAUUAAAUAUUGGUUCGAAUCCAAUUCCAUUCU